GACGCUCAACGCCGACUAAUGUGUAAGUAAUAGGGUUAGCAAUAAGCACCAAAAUAAGUUCAUUAAAAUUCAAAGCUAGACACUACCCAUUCAUAAAUUCAUCCAUUCAGAUUAAUCUAUCUAAAUAGAUUGCUCUUAUUUGCCAGCACCGUAAAAACAGAACAUUUAGAUGCAGCACGCGACAAGUGAGACUGUACCAACGCAACAAAAACAGAACAUAUUUUUCAACAUACACAUACACAUACACAUACACAUACACAUACACAUACACAUACACAUACACAUAUUACAUACAUACAAACAUAUACAACCUGCGGAAAUGUGGAUACACAAUCACACAAGAUGUAAAACCAGAGCGCGCCACGGUGAACACAAAGCAGCACGCUUAUUCCAGCUUCGACUCCAGUCCACAGG
This 414-nucleotide long non-coding RNA is filed under the name Sorghum bicolor (sorghum). RNAcentral describes it as "long non-coding RNA (SBIC_LNC000391)". The record is from RNAcentral. Lineage: Eukaryota; Viridiplantae; Streptophyta; Magnoliopsida; Poales; Poaceae.